This 681-nucleotide long non-coding RNA is filed under the name Mytilus galloprovincialis (Mediterranean mussel). Lineage: Eukaryota; Metazoa; Mollusca; Bivalvia; Mytilida; Mytilidae. The record is from RNAcentral.
CCUUUAUAUAUGUUAUGUAUUAUCAGAAAAUACAACUUACAUUACAAUAUUAAGGAUGAACACGAAUGCGGUCACUUUCGUUUUACACGAAAACCGUCUAAAACUUAACUAAAUUGCUAGAAUUGUGAAGAUCUCGGUAAUUUAGUAUGACUUAAUGGUGCUAGUACACGAUAUAUGUGUAUUGUAUUGUAAAAACGGGUGGCCAUAUUUAUGUAGCAGAAGCAUUCUACUGUCUAAUAAAUAACUAAAAGUUUACAUUUUAACAAUUUGGUAAAACUGCUAUAUUUUGGGGCCACAAAGGGGUCUUACUGAACCUACUUCUUUAAAAGGAUAAAAAAAAAAAAAUACAAAUUAUAAAAAGGGGAAAUCCAUAGAAAACUGACAAAGAUAAACGCUAUCAACCAACCGCACAAUAAAAAAAAAACAAAUGAAAAGUAACAAUACAUUCAUUAGGAUCUAGUAACCAAACUAUGUAAACAAACAUCACAGACAUACAACAUAACAUUGAGAAAGGAAAAAGGGAAUCUGCUAAAGAGACAACAACACUACCAAAUAGCAGAAAAAUGCUCCAGUCCAACAAUAGGGUCUUCAACACAGCGAAAAACGCACCCGUAGGCGAGCUUCUGUAAGCCAUAUUUGAUGAAGAAGUGGAAAUCUGUUCUACUUAACAAAUACACAACC